Molecule: non-coding RNA, 75 nt
Organism: Gambusia affinis (western mosquitofish)
Lineage: Eukaryota; Metazoa; Chordata; Actinopteri; Cyprinodontiformes; Poeciliidae
Source: the annotation of a RefSeq genome assembly
UGGCUGGUUAGCUCAGUUGGUCAGAGCGUGGUACUCAUAAUGCCAAGGUCAUGGGUUCAAUCCCCCUUUGGCCAA